Molecule: transfer RNA, 76 nt
Filed under: Helicobacteraceae bacterium
Lineage: Bacteria; Pseudomonadati; Campylobacterota; Epsilonproteobacteria; Campylobacterales; Helicobacteraceae
Description: tRNA-Arg
Rfam family: tRNA
About the family: Transfer RNA (tRNA) molecules are approximately 80 nucleotides in length.
Source: RNAcentral
GCGUCCAUAGCUCAACGGAUAGAGCAUCGGUUUGCGGUGCCGAAGGUUGCAGGUUCGAGUCCUGCUGGGCGCGCCA